AAUCCCUGUCCCGCUUCCUUGCACGGGUUGUUCGGAGAGCGAGCGAGUUCCGUUGCGCGCGGGGUACGUGGGGCAGGGUAUUUUCUCUGCUGCUAGCCUGCUACGACUCCGAGCCCGAGCGAUCGGAUCCGGAUCUCGCUUGCUGGGAUGGAUGCCCCGAUCCCGCCCAUCCAGCCUGCCGCGGAGUGAUUCCGCGCCAGCGGCGGGAGGGCGUGCCGAUUGAUGAUGGGAUUUAACUGGCUGCGAAACUCGCGUUAUCUUCAUCUUUGACUCGCCGUAGAAAUCCGUCUAUUCUUAGCCUCUGCGGCUGGUCCAAAUUAAGGUCAACGGAUGGCGGGGUAGGCAGGCUGGCCGGAGCUCUGUCAUGUCAGUGGUUUGGUGGUUGUGGAGACACAGAUCGUACCUAACUUAAACUAAUUGAGUGGAUUAUAGAAUGAGUAGAUGGUAUUAAUAAGCUAAGGGGGAAUCUCCCUUGCUUGAAAGUUGCGGGGGAGGAGAACCAACCGCUGUCUCGUUAGAGAUCAAUUAGUUCGUCGAGGGACUAAACUCUAACGAGGCUCGAGGUUGGUUCUCGGGCCAGACGGAGAUUGUUCAUACGAUCCGUUGCUGUUUCUAUUUUUUCUAGCAUAGCUGCUACAAUAAUUUCAACUUGUUCUGGCCUUCAAUUGAUGGCCUCACCUUCAGCACCGACCGAGCUAAGUCGGGAAGCUGCUCGUCAGUCUCUGAUCGCAAUCUCCCAGUCUGUUCCGGAGACACCUUCACCCCGGACGGUGAAGACACCUACCUCCACUGCAGAGAACGGGAAGCUGGACGAUGGGGCUGACAAGUACAGAUCAAAACUGAUGUCCAUCACAGACCUGUCUUCUGACGCCCAACCUACGCUGUGCCCUCCCAAGGAUGUUACCGCUUAACCGUGUGAUGGUCGCUGAUUGAUGUGGAUGUGCGGACAUGAUGCAUCAGUGCUUAUGCUGAUGCUCUGAACAUUUCACUGCCUUGCAUUGAACUGAACUUAUGUUACUAGUCGUUUUUCUUGGCAGUUGGUGCCCGUUUUAUGAUACAUUAAGGGAAACAGGUGGAAAUAUACUGUACAGUUUCCUGACUGAUGAUAAGGAACAAGUUAAGCUGAACAUUCUGUCAUGCA
Panicum virgatum (switchgrass) is the source of this 1141-nucleotide long non-coding RNA. RefSeq lists it as uncharacterized. NCBI's taxonomy places the organism in Eukaryota, Viridiplantae, Streptophyta, Magnoliopsida, Poales, Poaceae. The transcript has 2 exons. The record is from RefSeq and is a predicted model, not a curated record.